Long non-coding RNA from Hyaena hyaena (striped hyena), 653 nucleotides. RefSeq lists it as uncharacterized. The transcript is spliced from 3 exons. Lineage: Eukaryota; Metazoa; Chordata; Mammalia; Carnivora; Hyaenidae. The record is from RefSeq and is a predicted model, not a curated record.
GAUGUCCCCUCCACACGAAGCUCCCCGCCCGAGAAGAUGCAGGACGUGGAGUCUGGGGCUGAGGUGCAAACUGGUUUGCUGUUUUCACACCACAAGCAGGGAUGUCUUCCGUGACCCUCUGCUCUGGGACCAGAGAGCAGACAAGGACUCCGUUUCUAGAAGAUUCGUCAGCCUGCCAGCUGUUUUUAAGGCUACCUUCACUCUGUCUUCGCAGUCCCAAGCAACACCGCACACCUGAGGCCUUUCCCUUUCUUUGUGGGCCUUGCUUCCUUACCCUUCAUCAGCCUGGUCACCGUCAGGCUCCAAGGACUCCAUUUUCUGGGACAUAAGCCCACUCACCAGAUGGUUCACAGUCAUGCCAACCUCAAAGGUGAAAUUUCAAACGUGCUCAAAGGAACUUGGUAAAGCAACUGUCCUUUGCUCUGAGUCUCCUGUCGCCCUCAACCUAACACCUGAGGAACAGAUAAUAGUAACAGCAAAGGCUGAAACCUCCGUCAGGCUCUGGGGAAGCCGUCCAGACCCUCCACAUGACGGGAGGAACCUACAGGUGAGAGGGGUUAAGAAACGUGCCUGGGUCACCCAGCUGGGCAGUGACAGCCAGGACCUCAGUCCGGGUCCCGUGAUUCCUGGAGCCCGAGAAUUCAGGCUCUCUG